AAUUAAUAGCAAAAUGUUAGAAGCUCAAGAAAAAAAAAAAUACUGCUUCCAUCUGGUGUGCCGUAGGGUUUUGCCAAGAAGAUCUGCAGUCAGGACUCUAACACACAAGGAGCCUAAUUGUUUCCCAUUGUUCACUGGGGAAUCCAUUUGCUGUUCAUUUAAAUUGAUCGGUCCCAAGUCAACCAAGGACAGUGGGCUGUGCUGACCCGACCAUCUGGACUCUGUCUCUCUCCACGGCUUCCUGUGAAUCAUCCACCAACGUCUUGUUUAUCAAGACAAGGAUCACAUCAAAAUAAGGAUUGGCACUUUUACAACUUUAGGUAAACUGCACAUAAAGUGCAGAAAGUUACCGGAGGAAGGAGAAAGGAGUCGCUCGAGGCAUUAUUGAUAAACAAUCUGAGGAGAGAAAUGGGUUGGAGAUGGAGAUCUGAAGAGAUGCUAUGCAUGGGCUUCCUUCAAAACGACCUCUAAGUGGAGUGGUCUCAGGUCACAGAGAUGAAGAUAAGGAUGAGAGAGAAGACAGUGGUUGCGUCUCAAAUGCCAUCCUAUCCCCUGCACUACUUUUUAACCAGGGCCCAUAGGGCUCCUAUGGUCAAUGUAGUGCACUAUAUAGAGAAUCAGGGUGCCAUUUGGGAGGCAACCAGUGAGUGCACUGAGCUGACCAGGCAAAAACAGAUUACCGUGGCUUGCCAGUGGCCUUGAACAGAGAAUUAUACUGUGAAGUAUUUGAAAGCCCCAUAACAGUCGACAAGAAGCUCCAAACCCCGACGAGUUAGUGUUGUAAGUCAACCCUCUUGCAAUUAACCAGCUGUUUCACGACACAACAUUUCGAUGAAUUGUCUUUGAAGCAUGGUACAGCGGGGAGAGAAAAAAAAACACCCUGUUCAAACAUCGCCAUCUUGUGUUAAAAGAUCAUACCGUCCUCUGAGCUGGCGCUGCAUCUUGCUGCUGAUUUAGUAUCUUUAAAAAAAAGUUUUAACAUGGAAAGGGGGAACCUGAUCCUAGUUAAGCCCAGCUACUCUGAGACGCUUGGUACAUACAGCCCCGGGACUCGAUAAAAUUGAACCAUAUAUAAUAAACACUCAACAAGAAGGCUGUGUUCUAACAGAGAAAUCAACAUUUGAUUGCGGACAUAGGCUAAACAGCAUUAGAAAAUUCCCGUACGGAGUGUUGGCAAACAAAAGUGUUUAUUGACAAUGGAGGGACUGUCCUGAAGCCUGUUUUCUGUUGAACCGGCAUUGCCAAGUCAACCUAAAACAGCAGGUUCCUCAAUCACUCCCCGACCAAGCAGCAAUUCUUUUUUUUUACUGUGAAGGAUAACAAGGUCUACUUUUACUACACAGAGAGUUCAUCCGGACAAAGUAAUGAUACACUGAAGGUAAUUGCGUUACUCACGUACUCUAUUGCCACCUACCUUGGUGGGCCCCUCUCAGUCAGUCCACCGGGCAGACAACAGCUGAACUUCCAUCUCCAGCGGCACGUCUCUCUCGUAAAUAUCAUUGCUUCAUCCAAACACUGUGCUCACACAUGACUAGAACAGAGGUUUACACUAUGUGGGUUAUAAUUAGACUGAUUACGAUCAGAUCAAACCUCACACAACGCUUGGGAAUAGAGUCGAGAGCAUCUCAGUGAAGAUCAAGAGAGGUUCACAGAACAUUAUGGGUGUUACAUAACCUAUAACAGUUACUCUUGCUCUUACUCUCUCCUUUGUUCCUGGUCAAGAUUCAAGCUGACUGACAACAGAGAACGAUCUCCCCAAUGAAAGGAGCCAACAAGAAGAGAUUCACAUCUAAGUCGUGAUAACUGGCUUUCAAUAGUUCUCAUGUGAACAGUUACACUCUGUGACAAACCUGCAUCCCAUAUCGCACACUAUUCCCCAUUUAGUGCAUUACUUUUGACCAGAGCUAUGUGGCCCCUGGUCAAAAGUAGGGCUGUAAAUAGGGAAUAGGUUGCCAUUUGGGACAUUGCCAAAGGUUCCAGUAUCUAGAAUAUGCACCUUUAAUGAGAACCUCUAAGCUCAGUGACUAGACCACCGGGAGUUCAUUCAUCAUUGCCCUUAUGAUAGUCAGACAUUACCCCAGGAGGAGUCAUAUUGGUCUGAUUGAUCCAAGGAAAUGUGUCUGCCUCAUGACAUAUAGCCACUUAGAGUGGCAGGCCUUCAUUAACAUCUCUGUGUGUUUUACAAUCAACGGGCAAAGGCAGACACAUAUCCGAAUACACCGCAUUCCUCAGGGCACUGUUCGGAGGGAGACGUGGAAAAGUACACCUCUCCAUUGAAAGACGGCAGGCAGGCAGGCAGAGAGAGGCAGCCACAAUAAUACCAGGGCUUCUAUAAAUCUAUCCACUGUCUAUGCAGUUCCUCUGGCUUUACCCACGCUGAACCGUAGCAGCUUGAGGAGAGAGCGCUCCUGGCGCUUUCCCUGUCUGUGGCCUACCUCUGUAUUAAACACUGCUGGCUCCACUGAAACGUGAAUUCCUGGAAAAAAUGAACUUGUGUCAACUUGCAAGGCUCAAACUAAUACAGCAGGAUUUUUUUUUUUUUUUUACAUCAUAAAUAACUCAAAACAACACAUUUUUUUGUUGGGUGGCAAAAUGAUAUAGUUGAAGCAGAAGUGUUGAAAAUAUAUCUUCCAGAAUGGUCAUUGGAAGGGAGUGAGGUGAAACCCUCCACCCUGACCCAGUAUGAAGACAAUUAAUAUGAAUAACACUUACACAAUGUGUUGAAGGUCAACGGAAGGCAAAAGUAACAUACGUUUCUAUUAAUCUACCCGUUUACAAAGGGUUAUGCAUUUAAAUCUCUGCUUUGUCUUGGUCUAACAAAGAAAGGCACUAAAACGAGACAAAAAAUGACAUUUGAAUUCAUUUCUACAUAGA
RNAcentral lists this long non-coding RNA (2874 nucleotides) under Salmo salar (Atlantic salmon). Its description in RNAcentral is "lncRNA (ENSSSAG00000093925.1)". Lineage: Eukaryota; Metazoa; Chordata; Actinopteri; Salmoniformes; Salmonidae. The record is from RNAcentral.